AGUGGAGUCACCCAUUCAAAAUGGAAAUUCAGGGAAUAGAGGAACAAUUUCAAUAUCAUGAUGAGAUCAGCUAAAUCCAGAAGGAAUUCAGACUAUUGUUGGCAGGCUCUAAGGUAGAAACUACUCGUUGGAAGAUCAUGGCAGACCAAAGAGGCUUAGUUCAUAGUGGCCGGGAAUUACAUCAGAGGAACAGUGCCAGAGAAGAACAGCUCCUGCUGCCAUGUACUCAAGGCCCCUGAGUGUCAAGAUCAAGUUCUUCCUGUGAGGGAAUCUGAAUGACCCAGUCACCUUUGUGCCUAUUGGACCCAACUGUUUCCCAAGACUACUCAUGGGUUGACAGUCAGUGUAUG
RNAcentral lists this long non-coding RNA (350 nucleotides) under Heterocephalus glaber (naked mole-rat). Its description in RNAcentral is "lncRNA (ENSHGLG00100039340.1)". Lineage: Eukaryota; Metazoa; Chordata; Mammalia; Rodentia; Bathyergidae. The record is from RNAcentral.